Molecule: unclassified non-coding RNA, 329 nt
Filed under: fungal sp.
Lineage: Eukaryota; Fungi
Description: partial internal transcribed spacer region
Rfam family: Eukaryotic small subunit ribosomal RNA (bases 1-46)
Source: RNAcentral
AAGUCGUAACAAGGUUUCCGUAGGUGAACCUGCGGAAGGAUCAUUAACAAAUUAAAAAUAAUUUAUUAUUUUUUAUAAUGAUUUAUUCACCCAAUUUACUGUGAAGUUUGGUUAUAAAGUUUGUGAUUUUUUUGAACUCUGGUAUGGUUUUUCGAACUUUUUGAAGUUUGGGAUAUUAAUUGCCUGCCAGUAGUUUUGAUCUCACUCUUUUUUUUCUGAUAAACUACUGUUUAAUUUUAUUGUUGAAUUGAUGAAUUUUAUUCAGGUUGACGUAAAAAAUUAACCUAAAAAACUCAAUACAACUUGCAACAAUGGAUCUCUUGGCUCUU